UACGGAGGGGGCUAGCGUUGUUCGGAAAUACUGGGCGUAAAGCGAACGUAGGCGGCUUGGCAAGUCAGGGGUGAAAUCCCAGUGCUCAACACUGGAACUGCCUUUGAAACUGCCAGGCUUGAAUCCUGGAGAGGUCAGUGGAAUUCCGAGUGUAGAGGUGAAAUUCGUAGAUAUUCGGAAGAACACCAGUGGCGAAGGCGACUGACUGGACAGGUAUUGACGCUGAGGUUCGAAAGCGUGGGGAGCAAACAGG
This 253-nucleotide ribosomal RNA is filed under the name uncultured bacterium. RNAcentral describes it as "partial 16S ribosomal RNA". It matches the Rfam family "Bacterial small subunit ribosomal RNA", at positions 524 to 776 of the family's 1533-position model. The record is from RNAcentral.